This 61-nucleotide transfer RNA is filed under the name Hemiodoecus leai. Its description in RNAcentral is "tRNA-Ala". Lineage: Eukaryota; Metazoa; Arthropoda; Insecta; Hemiptera; Peloridiidae. The record is from RNAcentral.
AGGAUUAUAGUUAACUAUAACACCUAAAUUGCUAUUAGGAGGUAUCAUAUGAUUAAUCUAA